UCUUUUCCUUUUGUGCCCGCCGCCGCGGUAAUACGUAGGUGGCAAGCGUUGUCCGGAUUUACUGGGUGUAAAGGGCGUGUAGGCGGAGAUGCAAGUCAGAUGUGAAAUCCCCGGGCUUAACCCGGGAACUGCAUUUGAAACUGUAUCCCUUGAGUAUCGGAGAGGCAGGCGGAAUUCCUAGUGUAGCGGUGAAAUGCGUAGAUAUUAGGAGGAACACCAGUGGCGAAGGCGGCCUGCUGGACGACAACUGACGCUGAGGCGCGAAAGCGUGGGGAGCAAACAGG
RNAcentral lists this ribosomal RNA (284 nucleotides) under Sporobacter termitidis. RNAcentral's name for it is "partial 16S ribosomal RNA". It matches the Rfam family "Bacterial small subunit ribosomal RNA", at positions 493 to 776 of the family's 1533-position model. Lineage: Bacteria; Bacillati; Bacillota; Clostridia; Eubacteriales; Oscillospiraceae. The record is from RNAcentral.